UGGGGAAUAUUGCACAAUGGGGGAAACCCUGAUGCAGCGACGCCGCGUGAGUGAAGAAGUACUUCGGUAUGUAAAGCUCUAUCAGCAGGGAAGAAAAUGACGGUACCUGAGUAAGAAGCCCCGGCUAACUACGUGCCAGCAGCCGCGGUAAUACGUAGGGGGCAAGCGUUAUCCGGAUUUACUGGGUGUAAAGGGAGCGCAGACGGUUGCGCAAGUCUGAAGUGAAAUCCCGAGGCUUAACCACGGGACUGCUUUGGAAACUGUGCGACUUGAGUAUCGGAGGGGCAGGCGGAAUUCCUAGUGUAGCGGUGAAAUGCGUAGAUAUUAGGAAGAACACCGGUGGCGAAGGCGGCCUGCUGGACGAAAACUGACGUUGAGGCUCGAAGGCGUGGGGAGCAAACA
This 402-nucleotide ribosomal RNA is filed under the name uncultured Moryella sp. Its description in RNAcentral is "bacterial SSU rRNA". It matches the Rfam family "Bacterial small subunit ribosomal RNA", at positions 355 to 774 of the family's 1533-position model. Lineage: Bacteria; Bacillati; Bacillota; Clostridia; Lachnospirales; Lachnospiraceae. The record is from RNAcentral.